CGGAGCGUGGCGCAGCUCGGUAGCGCACUAUCUUGGGGUGAUAGGGGUCGCUGGUUCAAAUCCAGUCGCUCCGACCA
Molecule: transfer RNA, 77 nt
Filed under: Candidatus Latescibacterota bacterium
Lineage: Bacteria; Pseudomonadati; Candidatus Latescibacterota
Description: tRNA-Pro
Rfam family: tRNA
About the family: Transfer RNA (tRNA) molecules are approximately 80 nucleotides in length. Their secondary structure includes four short double-helical elements and three loops (D, anti-codon, and T loops).
Source: RNAcentral